UACGGAGGAUGCAAGCGUUAUCCGGAUUCAUUGGGUUUAAAGGGUGCGUAGGCGGACUAUUAAGUCAGUGGUGAAAGCCUGCAGCUUAACUGCAGAACUGCCAUUGAUACUGAUAGUCUUGAGUUUGGUUAAGGUAGGCGUAAUGUGUAAUGUAGCGGUGAAAUGCUUAGAUAUUACACAGAACACCAAUUGCGUAGGCAGCUUACUGAGCCGACACUGACGCUGAGGCACGAAAGCGUGGGGAUCGAACA
RNAcentral lists this ribosomal RNA (251 nucleotides) under uncultured prokaryote. RNAcentral describes it as "partial 16S ribosomal RNA". It matches the Rfam family "Bacterial small subunit ribosomal RNA", at positions 524 to 774 of the family's 1533-position model. The record is from RNAcentral.